AAGUCGUAACAAGGUAACCGUAGGUGAACCUGCGGAAGGAUCAUUAUCACGUGUAUCCAACGUAUCAACCAACCGCGAACUUGUUUCCCCUCCCUGGCGGCAAAACUGCGCUGAGGCGUGCGAGAUCUUGUGUGGGCAGCGUCGCUUGCGGCGUUGCGAACUCGUACAUCCAACUGAGCGGCUUCGGCCGUUCGACGGCGCAAACUUGUCUCCAGGCUUCUUUUGCCCGCUCGGCUCCCAUCAAGGCCGGGUGAGCAGAAACAUUACUAACAAUAAUCACCCUUUUUUGCUAGUUGGCUUUAUUUAUGUUCUUCGUCAUGCGCAAGCAUGAAGUCGACACGUUUAUUAAUUGAACGUUAAAUAUACAACUCUUAGCAAUGGAUAUCUUGGUUCUC
RNAcentral lists this unclassified non-coding RNA (395 nucleotides) under fungal sp. Its description in RNAcentral is "partial internal transcribed spacer region". The stretch from base 1 to 46 matches the Rfam family "Eukaryotic small subunit ribosomal RNA", at positions 1786 to 1831 of the family's 1831-position model. Lineage: Eukaryota; Fungi. The record is from RNAcentral.